Equus caballus (horse) is the source of this 2921-nucleotide long non-coding RNA. The record is from Ensembl. Lineage: Eukaryota; Metazoa; Chordata; Mammalia; Perissodactyla; Equidae.
AAAAUCAUCCUACGGAGAACCAACUCAAUUGCACCAUGGAUGUGGGAUGGAUAUCACCAGAACUGUGUACUCAUGUUGUCAGACUAAAGGAUAGCAACUGGUUUGGCAUUGACUAAUCUUGCCACCUUGGUGUUUUUUGGCCUCUAUUGCUGCUGUGGAUCUGCCUCCAGCACAGCCAGAGAGCCGCCAAAGAAGCUACCACCACACAGCGAAACCCCAGGCUGACCGCUCAGGGCACACUGCAGAAGAGAGGGGGAUAUGUGAUCGUAUGAGUGGAUCAUGACGGGUGGAGUGUUGGAGGAGGUCCCCGAGAAGACAUGAAUUCUGGUUGACCUGUGGGCUGGACUCCAGCAAUCCAAGGCCCCUCGACCCCUUCCCUGUCCUAUGAAUGUACUUUCUCCCCGCUGUUCCCUUAGCAGGAGCCAUUUUCAAGGACGCAGCCUUAAGAGAACAACGUGUUAUUGAGACCAUCUGGAUGCUAUGUGCGACUGAACCCAAUUAAGGCCUCUGUAGAAACUUUAAAGAUUCUGGUGGGCAGGUGCGGAGAUCUACUCGUCUUGCAACUGCCGAAGACAAGCCUCGAAUAUUUCUCCAGCCUGGAUCUGAAGACAUUAAGGAAGUGAUGACCGUGUUUGAAGGAAUGGCAGACAAGGAAAACAAGGAGAGGGGGAUGGGUGAUAUGUUGGAAAUUUUACGUUGAUUCAAGAUUAGUUGACCUUAGUUUAAAUCUCAUAUUUUUCUUCUCAAAUGAUUACAUAGUUUCCUACUUAAUAAUGACCAGUGCAGAAAGGCUGAGAGACCUUUGAAGUUCAAUUGAUAAAUUAUCUCCAGACCUUGUAAAACUAUCACCAUCCAGCUGGCUUACUGUAUAUUCAAAUUCAAUUUGGGACAAUAAGAAAAUUGUGGCCAUGUGUCGACUUUAGUGCUGUGUGUGUGUGUGUGUGUGUGUGUGCAUGCGUGCACAUGGGGUGCAUAUGCAUGUAUGAUUGUUAGUAGUAUGUGUGUGUGUAUCUGAUUGGAAAUACGGCCAGAUGAAAAAACUGAGCCUAAAUGAUGAAUGCUCAACAGGAGGUUUCUAUGAUCCAGGAACCCAUCUGACUUGAAGCUGUUAAUUUUCUCUGGUAUGUUCCAACGCACUGCCAGGGACAUAUAGGGUUUCUCCGUAGUGAAUGCUAUUAUGCUAUUUCUUAUUCUGCUGCAAGGAGUAGAGGCAAAGACCACAGGAUCUUUGAGAAUAAUUAUUUCUUAGUCAUAUCGGAAAAGAGACUACAUUUUUCUGUGCACGGAUGAGUUUUCUUUCAUCCCAGUGGCCUUCUUUCAAAGCUUUGAGAAUUUUAGCAAGUGGUCUGUCCCCCCCUCCAGCUAGCACAUACAGGCGUGAUGCUGUUUUUAUUAUUAUGGUCUUUUAUAAUCUUUUUAGCACUCUCUCUCUCUCUCUUUCUAUUUUAUAUACAAUAAAAUUACUAUCUACCUUUUAUGGUAAAAUCCACAGUUUGUGUUUCACUUUUCCGCUAAAAACAUUUCUGUUUCUCUCCCUUCCCAAAUUCACUGUUCUGGAAAUUGAAAAUUUACUUCUCUGUUAAACUGCAAGACGUGCCAAACCCCAAAUAGCUCAGGGAUCAUAACUCAGAAGCUGCUGGUUUAGUCGCUUGCAUGCAAAGUCUGUAGAAGUAACCGUGGGCCCGGGGAUAAGUUUCUCAGGACAGCCAGGAAACCCAGCAGGAAGAUACUGAACUUGCCUGAAAGAACUUUCCAGAAGAAUUGUCAGGGAAACUGCUUCAUAUUUUAAACUCUAUGGUAACGCAGACUGCCUCUUUUAGGUAGGUGAAACCUCCUUUUGCAAGUAGAUAAGUGAUUUCUUGGGAAAUAGCACUUGCUUCCCACCUUUUCUUAGGAUUUAAGAGGACUGAACUGGGAUUUAAGAGAUUCAAAUUCUAGUCCCUGCUGAAAAGUUAACUACCUGUGACCUUGGGAAAAUGGCACACUCAGCCUGUUUCCUCAUCUGUAACUUGAGGGGUUUGGACGGAAUGAUUUCUAUGGCUUGCUCCAGCUUUAAAAUCCUGCAAUUCUACGCUAGGGUUCCUUUCCUACAUCCUGCCCCCCCAAAACAAAAAGGGUCAGGAGAAGUGUGUUUUUGUUUUGCUUUGUUUGUGAGUGGGUAUAUUCUUUAUUUUAUUAUUUCCUCGCUUAUAAAAAUAGAAAUGAAUCCCCCUGUGGUCUGUAAGAAGAUUUCAUAUUGAGUGCUACGUGUUACAGCCAGCUUUCCAUUUUAAUCCUCUAAAAAUAGCUGUUAAUACAAAGCAAGUGUAGAUUGUUACAAAGCGCCCUUGCCACCCCACAACCCCCUCACCGACUUGCAACAUUCUGAGUGCACUGCCCUCUAGCCACACAAUUUUCAGCUGUUAAGGAACUGGAGUUUAAAUACAGCCUGACAACAGGGUCUAGUAUUGUAACGGUAUUUUGUGACUUCUUUUGUUUGUUUGUUUUUUGGGUUUUUUUGAGGAAGAUGAGCCCUGAGCUAACAUCUGCUGCCAAUCCUUCUCUUUUUGCCGAGGAAGACUGGCCCUGAACUAACAUCCGUGCCCAUCUUCCUCUACUUUAUGUGUGGGACGCCUACCACAGCAUGGCUUGACAAGUGGUGCCAUGUCAGCACCCAGAUCCUAACUGGCAAACCCCAGGCCGCUGAAUCGGAAUGUGCAAACUUAACCACUGCACAACCGGGCCGGCUGCCGUUUUGUGACUUCUUGAUAUGUCACCCUAUGGUGCCUGGAGUUGCAGUAAGAAGAAGCUGUGAUAAAUAACUGUAUCUCCAAUUCUAUGGUGAUUGCUCUUCCUUUCAAUAAUUUCUCCUUGUGGGAUAAAAUUAGCUCAUGCGUUUUAAAUAUAUAAAUGUGGACAUUCUUGCUAAUAAAUGUGUAACG